RNAcentral lists this ribosomal RNA (253 nucleotides) under uncultured bacterium. RNAcentral describes it as "partial 16S ribosomal RNA". It matches the Rfam family "Bacterial small subunit ribosomal RNA", at positions 524 to 776 of the family's 1533-position model. The record is from RNAcentral.
UACGGAGGGUGCAAGCGUUAAUCGGAAUUACUGGGCGUAAAGCGCGCGUAGGUGGCUUGAUAAGCCGGUUGUGAAAGCCCCGGGCUCAACCUGGGAACGGCAUCCGGAACUGUCAGGCUAGAGUGCAGGAGAGGAAGGUAGAAUUCCCGGUGUAGCGGUGAAAUGCGCAGAGAUCGGGAGGAAUACCAGUGGCGAAGGCGGCCUUCUGGACUGACACUGACACUGAGGUGCGAAAGCGUGGGUAGCAAACAGG